UACAGAGGUCUCGAGCGUUAGGCGGAAUCACUGGGCUUAAAGCGUGUGUAGGCGGAUCGUUAAGUACCUUGUGAAAUCCCACGGCUUAACCGUGGAACUGCUUGGUAUACUGGCGGUCUUGAGCCAGCUAGGGGCUACCGGAACAAAUGGUGGAGCGGUGAAAUGCGUAGAUAUGUCACAGAACACCAAUUGCGAAGGCAGCUUACUAAAGUAUGAUUGACGCUGAGGCACGAAAGCGUGGGGAGCAAACAGG
RNAcentral lists this ribosomal RNA (253 nucleotides) under uncultured bacterium. Its description in RNAcentral is "partial 16S ribosomal RNA". It matches the Rfam family "Bacterial small subunit ribosomal RNA", at positions 524 to 776 of the family's 1533-position model. The record is from RNAcentral.